This 300-nucleotide ribosomal RNA is filed under the name uncultured Pyrobaculum sp. RNAcentral's name for it is "bacterial SSU rRNA". It matches the Rfam family "Bacterial small subunit ribosomal RNA", at positions 496 to 795 of the family's 1533-position model. Lineage: Archaea; Thermoproteati; Thermoproteota; Thermoprotei; Thermoproteales; Thermoproteaceae. The record is from RNAcentral.
UGUAACUCGGUGCCAGAUGCCGCGUGAAUACUGCGGGGUCUAGCGUUGUUCGGUUGCAUUGGGGGGAAAGGGUGCGUAGGCGGCGCGGUAAGUCGGGUGUGAAAUCUCGGGGCUUAACUCCGAAACUGCAUUCGAUACUGCCGUGCUUGAGGACUGGAGAGGAGACUGGAAUUUACGGUGUAGCGGUGAAAUGCGUAGAUAUCGUAAGGAAGACCAGUGGCGAAGGCGGGUCUCUGGACAGUUCCUGACGCUGAGGCACGAAGGUCAGGGGAGCAAACGGGAUUAGAUACCCCGGUAGUC